GUGAUAAUUUGAACAAAUUGACGAUCAAGGAUUAUAACCUGAACAGUGUGAACUGGUAUCUUUCACACUUUCUCGUCAUCGCGGUAUCGACGGUAUGUGAUUGCAUAUACGAUGGAGAGAAAUGUUAGGAGCUUCCUAAGUAUAAUUUUCUAUUUUAGAUUGAUGCAUUGGUAAAAUAUUAAUGGCAUUGUUUACACGAUUAAAGUAAGCUAAAGAAUAAAUGAUGGAGACAUACAUACUCAAUCAGGUAAUCAGUUGUAUUCAAAUUUCAAUAUUUUAUAAACUAUGAUUUCCAUAUGUUUAUAUACAGCUAUUUCAAUCAAGGUUGUCCACGAGCAAAGCGGAAAAGUCGAAUUUACGAGCGGGAAAGGCUGCUGGGAAUCGCUAACAGAUUAAUGAAUUUUCAAAGCGAUUCCCAUGCAGCAGCCUUUUGCGCUCAUAUUCGACUUUUCCGUUUUGCUCGUGGACAACCUUAAUUGAAAUAGCUGUAUACAUAUCCCUGUAUAUCAAGCGAAAAUAAUUCUAAAAUGUAUUGACAAGUUAGUAUUAUACAGGUAACCCAAUAACUCUAUAAGUGACAUAUAGUAUUAUACAGUAACCCAAUAACUCUAUAUAUAGUAAUUAUAUGUGCAAGUUGAAGAGUAUAUGCAUGUAAAAGGAAAUUGUCGAGUGUAGUAAAUUACAUAUGCAUUUAUUAGACCAAAGCAGGAACAACUGCGAAAAAUGCAACUAUAUAAUAAGUCUUCUGGUAGGAAUCGAACCUGCGGUCCUGCGAUUGCGGUGCAGCGCUCUAUAACCAACUGAAUUUAACGAUUUCAAAUUUUGACAUUACCAGAAAUGUGGGACAUUUUGCGUCCUCAAUCGUAACCAGCGGUUUUACGCAUAAAUGAUGAUUCAUCAAAAAAUACAAACAAAAUGGCGGCGGCUCAUAGUCUUCAAAGACAAAUCGUGUUGUUAAUAAUAAUAUAUUGAAGAGGAAACUCCGUGCUGACGGCUAAAUUCCACUUUAUUUUACUGCGAUUAACUAAUGUAAGAUUGUAUGACAUUUUUUACAACAGCAGAACCACUAUUUGUGGCACGAUCGAAGAAGUAUUUUCCAAAUUUGACGCGUUUACGCACGUAUAAUAAAUGUUUUGGCUGAGAAAUGUGCAUAAAUUUGCGUGAUGGCAGGGUAAGAGACUGGGAAGAGCAUAAUUAAUUUAAAAACAAAUAUGGCGGAGAAGAAACGCAAUGUAUGAAAAUUUUAUCGUAGUUGUGCUGAUAAAAAUGGCCUCUUGUAGCAUGUAUGGAUGAAUAAAAUGGCUAAGUUUAGAGGAUUUUGGAAGUAGUUUCUUGCGGAAUUUAGAUACUUUUGUUGGCGAAUAUAUAAACUUUGAAUGUUAUUGAAACAAUUGCGAUGCCAAGCUCAAGAUUUCGCUGGAUAUAUUUCCGUACACCAGGCUGCGUUUGUGGCGUGUAUUGUCAGAUUCACAUGCAAUAUAAGGAGUUAUUAUGCUGGUGAAUGUGAUAUCAAUAGUGAGCUCGGGAAGUGAGUGUAUUUUAUUCUAGAAAUAGUUGUUAGAAUUAAUAGAUUCCUGAAUCAGCAUAGCAUGUGAAACGAUGCCAAGUAAGCGUGAUUUGCGGCUCAUUCAUGCGAUAUUUGAGAAAGUUCUUAUAUGCCUAUACUAAUUCCAGCAUUAUCGGACGCCAUUUUGUUGCGUAAUUUUUGUGAUGUCCACCAUCUUGACCCACAUUUCUGGUAAUGAAUACUUAACAAGAAAUGUCGGACAAUGCAUCAUUAAAACUACGCCACAUUAUUAGAAUGUUUAAUUUUAAACUCUAUUAAUUAGUCACCAGGUAAAUAAACACUACAGAAUGCUACUGAAGAUCUCUAUAUACGAAAUUAAAUCCGGCCAAAAACAGCAAUCUUGCUCAUUUCUUACCGUAGACUAGAUAUUUUAUACCUCCGCCAGGAGGUUAUGUAAUCAUCUGGGUUUGUAUGUGUGUGUGUAUGUGUGUGUGUGCGUAUAUGUAUGUGUGUGUGUGUGUGUGUGUGUGUGUGUGUGUGUGUGUCUGUGAGCACGAUAACUCAAGAAAUACCAAACAUAUUCAUACGAAAUUUUUUGAAUGCAUUUCCCAUCGGCUAAGGAAGAACUGAUUAAAAUUUGGUUGAAUUUGGUUAAAAAUUGAAUGACAAAUAACAAAAGUUUUUCUUGCUUUUCCCGGUCAAUUAAAUAAAACUUUAUACUGAAUGCGUAAUUAGGACGUGCAUAAUAUAUGCACCAGCCAUCAAAUUCUAAUAACAAUAGAUUACUUCAAUAGUUUGCGCGUAGGCGGAGGCAUGCAGUCUCUGAGUGCCCUCUAGUUAUACAGGGUGUAUCAAAAAAAACGCAACCUCGGAAUUUCCCAAGAAAUCGACAUUGUUUUAAAGACAAAAGAUUUUAGGCGCCUGGGAAUUUAAAAUAGCACAACUGUCAAAAUUACUGCACACGCGAGUGCAUAAAGCAAAAUUUAUGCAUUUAUUUAAUGCACAACAACAGUAAUAUGAUCUAUUAGCAAUUCGAUUUCAAUUCCCAGCGGCCUAAAAUCUUUUAUGCUUAAGAAUUGCACAGUGAUUUCUUAGGAAAUUCCGAGGUUGCGUUUUUCUUUAUACACCCUGUAUAAUGCAAUCCAAAUGAACGUAUUUGGCUAAAUGCGUGUCGAAGUAAAACCAAAUUUUGGAAUGUUGUGCAGCAUUGCCAUUAGCGAGGAUCCAACGUGUUUGAAACUUUGAAUGAACCUGGAAUUUGGCUGACUCUUGGUCUUGUCCCAAUAUGUGGAGGUUAGGAUCCAUUCCGUUGAUAAAUCUGGUGGACAGCCGUUUUCUACCAGGAUGAGAAGAAACUGGAAAGUUUCGCCAUCGCGUGUCGGUUUCCUCCAGAAAAGUCUUUCAAUUUUUUGAGCCACAUGGGAUAGAAAACAUCGCCGUUGAUAGCCUGAAGCAAAGCACGUCUCUUCUUCGAAAUUUCAUCCGCUGUACAAGUUAGGACAAAACGUUUGACUAAUUCUUCCAUUAAAUAUGAUGGUAUAAAAUUGCUUGAAGAUGAAAUUGUGCGUAAGUGCGUUUGUUGAAUGGUUGAAAGUUCAAAAUAAGUACAGCUGCAGUGCUGCAUGAAUAGUUUCUGUGAUAUCAACAACUGGAAAUCUGAAAUAUCACAUUGAUAACACUACAGGAUGGUCUACUCGGCUUCUCGGCUCGCAGCACUGGCGGCUGGACACGGAACAAUCAAUUAGUCAAUGUCAAUGGGACAUUGUCCUUGACGACGUAUAGGCUAAAACCAUAUACGAAAAACGUAAAAACGUGGCGUAUAUAGGUGCCUAGAGUAAAAUGGUACAAUUGCGCAUGCAUACAAGCCUUUAGGCAUCUAUGCAGCCCUAUAGGCUUGUAUUGUCCUUGACGACGUAAAUUACAAAAUGAGUAUAGUAUAAUGUAUUGUUGUCUUUCCUGGCAGUUAUGACGGUUUGAAAACGAUGCAACUAAAUUACAAAAUUACUCAAAGUGCAUAAUAUAAGUAUUACUCAAAGUGAAUAAUAUCAUGAGUAUAAUAUAAUACUACAUAUGCACAAUUAGCCGUAACACUUUUGUCGAUGGUCUUGUGGGUUUCAUUGAUAUAGGGGGCUAUAUACGUGGUUUUGAAAAAACAAUGCAAUACAAUUGUGAUGUGUUGACGCGUUUGUUAAUUACUGCAGUUUAGUAUAUACGAAGUUGAAAGAACGAGGCAACACUAUAUAUUUGCACAAUUAGCCAUAACGCUUUUGUCGUUGGUCUUGUAGGCUUUAUUGAUAUAUAUGUGGUUUUGAAAGAACGAGGCAACAAUUAUCAUUUAUAGACCUGGAGCGAGGGGGAUUCGGCGAAAUAUUACCCGAAGUGAUGAUCUUUCCCGAGGGGCUUUGCCCCAAGGGAAAUAUCAUCACUUCGGGUAAUAUUUUGCCGAAUCCCCCGAGCGGAGGGUCUAUAAAUGAUAUAUUAUACCGAAAAUUAAAAGCCUCCAAGUUGAGAAUUAAAAACUUGACACAUACCUUCGUGAAUACGAUGUUUUAUUUUCGGAUUAACGCAAGUUUUCGUCGAUUUUCUUUCGAAUCACAUAUCGUUUGGAAUAUUAAUGACAACAUUUUUCAAAAUUUGCUUCAAAAUUUUGAAAACGCCCCAGGUUUUACGUUUAAAAUUUGAUUAUUCAUCACUCAUCAAUACUAUUUAUAUUUUGUCGGCCAUGUUUUUGUCAUGCGUGUUGUCUCGCGCGGUCUACGCGAAUAAUGUUCCACCCCAUGUUCCCCGGGGAACAUGGGGUGGAACAUUGUCAAAAGGAACGCAGGCUCGCUAAUUGAUGACGUAAGGCGUGAUAUCGCGAUUAAUUUCAUGCUCACGUGGCACAAACUAAGCUUCUUGAUUGGACAAUUUGAAUUUGAGGUAUAAUAUCACCAUAUAUAUGCACAAUUGUGAUGCGUUGACGCGUUUGUUACUGCAGUUUACUAUAUAUAGGAAGCGUGUACCCCAUGCGGCGCUGCAUAGGCAAAGCACCGAACUCCGCACGCUCAUAUUACAGUGCAUGCAUGUAAACUGUCAGUUCCUUACUUAGUAUAGCCACACUGUACAUCUCAAACAUUUUUAUUAUAUUUUCGAGGAGUUUGAUUUUGAAACCACACUGUAGGCCUACGUGUCAAACAUUUUUAUUAUAUUUUAUAGGAGAUUGAUUUUGAAAUAUAUUUUGUAUUGUAUAUUGAACUUUACAUUUUGUAAUUGGGAGUUAAAUUCGUUUGAAAACUCUGGAAAGAUUACGCACAUUAUCUUCCUAAUGUUUAGACUGAGAUGAUAGUCAUUCUACGAUACGUGGCACGUGUGCGAAAGAACCCUGCUGUUUUCUAUUUGUCAUUGUAGUUUGCCGGUCGAAUUUGAAGGAGUAAAAGCUAAUAAUGCAAUGAAUUGCUACACUGAUUCAGUUAUAUAAAGUGCGCACAAGAACCCUGCUGGCUUAUGUAUUUGUCAUUGACAUUGCAUGGCUGCGUUACAGCCAUGAAGCUGAGAUCAGCUCUACUAACUUUGCCGCUAGUCCAUGCUAUAACUGUUAUAAUUUGUAAUUUGCUGCCCGGAAAUGCCUAAAAUGUAAAAGUGAAUAUAAGCAUGUAUACAUAAUUUGAAAGGAAAUACACAUGAAUAUUUGACGUUGUCCAAGAUUCUAAAGUAAUGCCGCCAAGGGCGCCGUGAUUCGUUGACGCGUUUGUUACUGUAGUUUAUAGUAUAUACGAAGCGUGUUUUUGAAAGAACGAGGCAACACUAUAUAUAUGCACAAUUAGCAGUAACGCUUUUGUCGUCGGUCUUGUGACUUUUAUUGAUAUAUACGUGGUUUUGAAAGAACGAGGCAACACUAUAUAUGCACAAUUGUGACAACAGCUGUUCAGCUGAAGCAUCCGACACCACACUACAAACUUCUGACAAACAAAGCAUCUGACACCAUCUUACACCAUCUUCACCAGACAACCGAUGGCUAUAUUGGACAUAUAUGAAUCCCCGAUACGGCCCUGCCAGACUGGUAGCGACCCCUUAUGACAUAGACCUGAACCAAGGGGUGAUAAUCCCCUUGGACAGUAUACGUACGUACGAUUUGACUGAUUCUAUUUACAUAAAUAACCUGAGUAUAUGCAUGGGCCUGAAGUUCAACUCCACAAAUACACAGCACAUGUGUAUUCCCAUGCAUAGACGAACUCCCACCACAGCUGAAUUCGUAUACAAGACAGCUGCUGCCAGACGAUAGUUUGACAUAUAUUUGAGCGUUAUUUUCACUCAUACUAUAGCUGGAUAGUCAGGGAGGCCAGAAAAAAACCUACAAUAUACAGGAAACCUGGAUGGGGCCAAGACAACCAGCAGCUUCCCCACAAAGCAUCUAUCUUACAAGUUCUUAAUUCUUAAUUUAAACAAAGCUCACCAUCAAAGCACAUUUUAUUAAUUUAUUUUUUUAAUGUAAAUGUUAACCACACCUAUUUUAUUUCAAUUAUGAUUGGUGGAACCUUCUUGAGUUAUGUGACAUUUCUCUCAGAAUCAUGCAUUCAUGAUAUUAGCAGAAAUUGUAAGAAUAUGUAUUUGAUAGAAUAAAUAGACCUGCAUGCAGUUAAUUAAUUGAUAGUACAUCAAAGGAUUUUCAAUUUUCAUGAGCGUAGGCAUACAUAGUAUCGUACCAAUCUUUCAUGAUAUACAUCUGUAUAUGUGCAGAGUUUUAAAUCUUAAAUUUCGUUCACAAAUGAGCUUGCUUUCUUAGGCCCGGUUUAGGCGGCGAACUUUUCAUGCGCCGAAUCUAAUUGCUGUAUAGAUACGGCAAAAUAUUGGAAACUGAUUUAGACGUCGAACUUAAUUGUGCCGUACCAAAUUGCGAGGACACUAUAUUGGACAUAUUUACAAUGCAAAUAUAUGAUAAUCAUAUUGUAAUGUUACAAUGUAAAAAAUUAAGCAUGCAUUAGGUUCGGCGCAUGAAAAGCACGGCGUCUAAAUCAAUGUCGAACCUGUGUCGCAUAUACGACUUGUCUUGUCGCAUCUUCGAGUCGUGUCGAACUUAAUCAAAAUCUGCCGAACUUAAUUGAUUUAGACACCACUCUAGCGUCGCACUUAAUCCUUGCAUUAGAUUCGGCGCAUGAAAAGUUCGCCGUCUAAACCGGGCCUUAUGUUUUGAACAUUAAGGUAUUGACAAUGUAUGCAGGUCAAACUAAUGUUAGGUUUUAUUGAAGCGUGCUCUGAAAUAGCUAAAAAAAAGUUUUAUAAUUCUACAUUUGAACGAUUGAAAACAGUUAAACGAUUUUUGAACUUUUGAAUACAUACAGGCUACAUUUGAACGAUUGAAUACAUAAAGGCCUUACGGCCUGACUGAAACCCAUCUGAGGCGUGAAGCCUAAUCUGCGCCUAAUCUUAAGGUGGUAAUAAAAUUGUCAUUGGAAUUUUAGAUCGACAAAUAAUACACCAGAAUGUUGUUAUAAAUUAGACGAAUUUAAUACAUUUUGGUUGGUUUGAGAGGCGGAAUACGAAACAAUCGCAACUCGCUGCGAGUGCUUGCAUCUAAUUAAAAUUAACUGUUUAGCAUUGUGAAUGGAUGAAAGUGCUCAUGCAUCACUCGCAGCGAGCUGCGAGGAGCUUCGUGCGAGGACCGGAAGUCCGCCUUUACGCGCCGAAAUAUACCGCUUUACUUGAGCAUGUGCUUUGAGACAUGAAACGACAUCAACUGACGCUUGUUGGUCUCGUGUUUAGCCUAUCGAUCUUGUUAUUAUUCCCCUAGCGGCAGUUUCAUUUAAUGGUAAUAACUUCAUCGGGACUUGAGCCAACGUAUUCCUUUGUCCACCAAAAGAGUAAAAGCGCUUGUACGGUAGAGUCCUAUUCGAAUAAACUGCGUCUCACUGAAUUAUCAUACUGUUCUAGCUGAGUUGCUGAUCAAAUUUUCUUUAUAUCCAUGAUAUGUCAAUUCCAGCGUUUUUAAACUCUUUUCUGUCACAUUUCCUCCGUUCCUGCGAUGUCCGUAAUUGUUUACAGCUCCACACCAAGUCAAAUUUUCAAAUUUUCUUUCUCGGUAACAAGACAUAUUGCACUUUGUUUGGAUAUUUGUCAAACUGAACUCCCUUAUCACGUUGACUUUUAUUCUGCGUGUUCGUUGUUAACAUAUGAUUGGUCAGUUGAUCCUUCAUUCGGUUUACACCUGCCCGCGGAAUCAUUUGAACUUUGGACUAUUGGAUAUCGCCUUUUUGUGGCUGUUGACAAGCUUUUCCUGUCAGUAUGAGAUUAUAACCAUGCGGUUUGAAGGUGACAAACGUGUGGUCUCAUUAACUUUAAUUUAUAUAUUGUUGUAUAAAUUUGCUUAAAACACGUCCUGCGAGUUUAUUAAACGCCUUCAAACACGACUACAAAUUCAAUAGAUAUACUGUCUUAUUAGUAUUCUUUAUAUAAAAAAUAUUAAUGAGGACACGACUACAAUAGAUACUGCCUUAUUAGUAUUAUUUAUAUAAAGAAUACUAAUUAGGAGUGUUUCAUCAGGUAUAAAGCUUUUUCACGUGACAUAUUAUGGUUGACAUGAUUGAACUUAGAUAAUCUGGAGCUUAGAUAAUCUCGAACUUAAAUAAUCUGGAGCAAGUCCAUUUAGAGACUUGUAAACCAUUACAGCUUCACCAAUUUGACGUUGUAAUUCAAGAUUUUUUCCAGCCAAGGUCUUUGAAUAAAUUGUCAGCACUGGUGUCAUAGCCAGAAAAAGUCAAAACCCGGGCGGCACGGUUUUGCAAUUUUUGAAGCUUAGUAGCGAGCGUUUUACCACAAUUUCUCCACACGCUGCUGCAAUAGUCAGAAUGUGGCUGCAGAAGCGAGUUGAAUAUCAAUUGCAGAGUCCUGUGGGGGGAAAAUGAUCUGGUUCGUUUUAUUGCUCCAAUGCCGCUGGCAAUCUUUUUACACAGUCGAUCGAUAUGUUCGCUCCAGGUAAGGUUCAUCAAUAGUAACACCCAGAGAUUUACAAUUUGAAACCCGUUUUAAUGAGGCACCAUCAAUAACUAAAGAUGGAGAUUUGUAAAAAGUUCUUAAUCUCUGUCUAGAACCAAUUAUUAACAUAAAUUCGGAUUUCGAUUUGUUAAGAGUGAGCUUAUAUUAGCAAUGAGCCAUUCCUUAACGUUAGCGAGAUCAUGAUUCAUAUUAUGUUCAAUGACAUCAAUGCUUUCACUAUAUAGCAAAAGAUAAAUUUGUGUCAUCAGCGUACAUACGAGGUUGUGUAUAAGAAAGGCAGUUAGGUAAAUCAUUAAUGUAAAGAAUAAAUAAUAAAGGCCCUAGAAUUGUACCCUGUGGGAUUCCACAUGAUAGGAAACGAUUUUGUGAAAGGCAACCAUUCACAAAACAUUUUUGAUUUCGGCUAUUCAAAUACGAUUUAAACCAAUUUUUUCCAUGCCCUCAAUGCCGUAUGUGUUUAACUUAGAUAACAGAAUUUCAUGGUCAACAGUAUCGAACGCUUUCUUGAGGUCUAAAAAAACAACAACGUUAAUAUUACCGCGAUCAAUAUUAUACGCCCAGUCAUCAGUUGCCUCAAGUAAAGCAGUGACCGUAGAAUGAAGGAAUCGGAACCCUCAUUUGCAUGGUGACAAGAUUAUAGAUUGUUUUCAUUUAAAAAUGCAAGUCUGAUCGUGGACUACCCUUUUAAAUACUUUUGCUACCACAAGAAUAAUCGAUGUCGGGCGAUAGUUAUUCAAGUCUGAACAAUCACCCAUGUGAUUGCAUAUACAAAGGAGAGAAUUGUUUGAAGCUUUCUAAGUGUAAUUUCUUGUCUAUAGAUUGAUGCAUGCAUUGGUAAAAUAUAUUGAUGGCAUGGUAUAUACGAUUAAAGCAAGCCAAAGAAUGAAUGCUGAAGACACACAUACUCAAUCAGGUACGCAGCAUCACUUGUAUUCUAAUUUCCAGUGGCGGAAAUCUUAGUGGGUCGGGGGGGGGGGAGGGGCGACCGCCCCCACCUUCACGGAGAAUGAAGAAUUUUCGGAAAUUUUGACCUGAAAGAGGGCUAAAAACAGCCUUUUUGAGUGCAAAUUCGGGGAUUUGUCGGAAAUUUGAAAGGAGGCUUUGCCCCCCAACAGAAAAAGUGAAUUUCCGCCACUGCUCAUUUCAAUAUUUUAUUGAGACUAUGUUUUUUCUAUAUGUUUAUAUAUAUACAUAUAUCUGUAUAUAUCAUGGGAAAAUAAUUCUAAAAUAUAGUCUAGAUCUAUAAGUCAUGUUAGUUUGGCGGACGUUUUGUUGUUAUUCCCCUAAUCCAUGCAUGUAUCGACAAGUCAGUAUUAUACCGGCAUAAUACUAACCUGAUCCGACACGUCUCAAUAGAAAUCCAACUCUAUAGUAAUUAUGUACAAGUUGAAGGGUUCAAGCUAAGAGUAUUUAGUAUAAACCUACUAGUAGGCUAUCACAUAUCGUGGAUUCUGAUUGGCUACGCUACUAGUAGGCUAUUAGUGAUAGCCUACUAAUAGAAAAUUCAAAAUGGCGGAAAAUUCGCGUUUUGCACUUUUGCCGAAGUGGCUGAUGAUUUUUUUGGACGACUUGUUGAACAAUUCUGUACUAAAAAACCCCAAAAAGCAACAAAAAUAUGGAAUGGCAAUUUUUAAUGGUAAGAAAAUAGACAAAAUAACAUACACUCAAUGAAAUUUUAAAAUUAAAACUGAAUUUUGUAAAACAUUUUACGCGAGCAAGAACUAAAAUAUUUGUUUACCUUUAAUGGUUUUAUAAUGUUUUGUUUUUGUGUAUUUUUGUAUUGUGUUUGCAGCCUAGUUGUAAAUUAAUGUUAAAGUUUAUACUAAAACAAUUAGACAACUCGGCCUCGUUGUCUAUGAGAAAAUAGUCAACUCGGCUUCGCCUCGUUGACUAUUCGCUCAUAAACAACUCGGCCUCGUUGUCUAAUUGUUAAGUAGAUGGAAAUUGGCGAGUGUAAAUUUCAUAUGCAUUUAGUAGACUUAACCAGAAACAACUGCGAAAAAUGCAACUAUAUAUACGUAGUCUGGCACGAAUCGAACCUGCGGCACUACGAUUCCAAUGGAGCGCUCUAACCAACUGAGUUAACGAUUUCAAAUUUUGAAUAAUCAACAAGAAAUGUCGUACAAUGCAUCAAUAGAGCUACGAGGCAUUUUUAAAAUGUUUAAUUUUAAACUCUAUUAAUUAGUCAUCCAGGUAAAUAAACACUACAUAAUGCUACUGAAGUUCUCUUCGAAUCUCGCUCUAAAUACGAAAUCCAGCCAAAACUGCGUUCUUGCCCACUUCUAUACCGGUAGAUAUUUAAUUUUUUCUGUGUGGGCUUUCCUGUUCUAAAUAUGUGGUUUUUUAAUAAAUUUUAAACAUUAUACCCCUUGCAUAUAAUAAGUGAUAUUAUUAGACAUUCAAAUGUUAUUCUCGUUUGUGAUUCGUCAACAAGUCCCGGAUAAUUCUCAAUAUCCCGUAGCUGUCACGUUAUUUCCGCUGCCCACAUUAUUAUCAAGUAACAAUCGUUUUUCAUGGACGCAUUCGUGUCCAAGAUCAUAGCCGCUGUAAAAUCCAAUUCUCCAGCGCGUUAUGGACUUCUCAUUGUGACUGGAACCCAGUCCAAAUGUGAAAAGAGUAAAGUCAACGCUCUGCCGAAAGUCGUGGGUUUUCUCCGGGUACUCCGUGUUUCCUCCCACAGGAAAAGUUGACAGGGUGGGUUAGGCACAUAACUAUGUAAGUGCACGACCACAUCAGCUAUGCUGCGAAUUUAAUCGUGUUGAAAUAAAUGCUUAUAAUAAUAUAAUAAUAAUAAUAAGCUAGCCAAAUUUUAGAUGAAGUGAUUUAGGGUCUGUUCAUAUGGGGAAAUGUUAUCCUGGUUAGCGAGAAAACAUUUCGACUAGCCAAAUAAUUUUGUUCCGGUCUUAUGGAGAAACGUUAUCCCGCUUACUGGGUAAAGUUUCCGGCUGUGACAUAUAGCACUGGUGUGACACGCAAGGCGGGAAAAGUAAAAAAAAACUUUAAAUGCAUUUUAAAACCAGAAAAGUUGCUUACACGACGGAACGUUUUCUCGCUAAGUGGGAAAGUUGUGGGUAUUUUGUCUUCACAUGGGAAAAAUAUUAUCCCGGUCGAUCAUCGAGAUCUCGCAUGUCAACAAGCAAGAUCUCGUUGCACGGGAAAUCUUUUCGUCUCAUAUGAACGCAGUACAUGUAACUUUUCAUAUUUAUUUUCAUAACAAGGCGAGAUCUCGCUGGUAAACUUGUCGAAAUGUUUUCUCGCAUACCUGGAUAACUUUUGCCCAUAUUUCUCGCAUACCUGGAUAACUUUUGCCCUUAGUGAAAAUAAGUGCCAUAAAAAUUCCGCUGUACUUUUCUUUCAUUCAUUCAUUCAUUCAUUCAUUCGUUCAUUCAUUCAUUCAUUCAUUCAUUCAUUCAUUCUUUUCAUUCGUUCUUUCAUUCAAUUGGUACAUUGACUCAUGAAAACAGCUACAUCUAGCUAGUUUAUAGUAAAAGAAUUUUCAUACAUUUAUUACACCUAACCAAGAGCAGUUGCAUGAAAUGCAACUAUCGCGGCCCUCUGGCGGGAAUCGAGCUUCCGGCUCUGCGAUUCCUGCCCUACCCAAGCUACUCGAGCUCUAACCACGGUUUAUGCACAAAUAUUGCCAAUUAAAGGACAUUGGCAAUAUAAAAUUAGUUUGUCUUAUUCAAAAGAACUGUUGAAAUGAUAUAUUAAACUAUCUUACCAAUUUGUCGUAUCUUGCUUAGUUUUCGAAAUAUUUAGACCGAAAUUAAUGAGCUGUGCGCCAUCUUGGACGAGUUCUUGACCUCAUUAACUAUGGUUUUGAUGACGUCGGGAGUUAACAAUAUAAAACUACUCUAAAAUGACCGAGUACCAAUCCAAAAUUGUUUGAAAUGUUUUUAGUCAUUCCUAAAUUUCAGACAGCAACCAGAAACGAACUUUUGGACCCAUAUUGAUCGCUUACUCUCGAGAUAAAAAAUUAGCGUGACCCUUCUCUUGACGUAACAUGCAUAUCCUCAAUAAUCCAAGAUGGCGAACAGCUCACUUUUUCAAGUCGUAAUAUUUUGAAAACUAAGCAAAAUAUAAACAAUCUGUAAUAGAGUCUAAUAUAUAGUUUUAAGAGUUCUUUCGAAUGAACUAAACUAAAUUUUUAUUGCCAAUGUCCUGUAAGGUGUAUAUGGGUAAAUUUCACGAUAUUGGGAAUCUCACUUGAUAUCCCUAAUUGUUGAAGAGAUAAACUUGUGGUUAGAGUUCUGCAACCGUCUCUUUGUAGCUCAGUUGGUUAGAGUCCUGAACCGGUAUCGCAGGGUCGCAGCAUCGAUUCCUGGCAGAGGCCGAUAUAGUUGCAUUUUUCCCAAUUAAAUUCCAUUCGAAAAUUUCCAGCUACAAAAUCCCCUCGACAGUUAGUUAUGCAGAGUGAGAUAUCCAAAAUCCUGCAUAAAGAACGAAUAAUGUUGAACAUGACGAAAUUCACUACGUUUAUUAUGCAAUGAUUUUUAUUUAUAUACAAUGUUUCAGCUAGGUUUAUGUAUAUAUAUAUAUAUAUAUAUAUAUAUAUAUAUAUAUAUAUAUAUAUAUAUAUAUAUAUAUAUAUAUAUAUAUAUAUAUAUAUAUAUAUAUAUAUAUAUAUAUAUAUAUAUAUAUAUAUAUAUAUAUAUAGAUUAAUCACUAGGCGAAAAGCCAUAAAGGUAUAUAAAUUAAUCAACACAUAACGUAACGUUUCGACUUUAUUGUCUUCAUCAAAUAUAAUCUUACUUUACAGGCGAACCCAAUUUAUACCCUCCCAAUUUUGCUAAUUAUACAUAAUAUGAAUAUAAGUGAUUUACCAUACAAAUAACAAUAUCCUGUUAACUAUAAUUAACAUUGCUACGCAUUCUCUAUGUUCAAUCCCGAAGGAUGCAUUGUCUUUAGUUUACUUAUCCAAAAUGCCUCACGUCUGGUCGGUUCCGCUGGGUCAGUUUUAUCAAUUAAAACAAUCUCGCAAUCACUAAUCAAUCCAUUAUGUCCAUUACCCAAGAAAUGUUGAUGGAAAAACAUUUGUGUAUAAGCCUCGUUAUUAACUGCCUUUUUGUGGCAGGCUUUAUAAUUAUUCCAACGGUACCUAAAUUUAUCUGUUGUUUCGCCAACAUAUUGUUUUUUACAGACUUUACAAGUAAGAAGAUAAACCACACAUUUCGAGUCGCAAUUCAACCUAUGGUUCACUUUGUACUGUUUACCAUCUGUUGAACACUCAAAGCUGUCGGUUUCUCGAAUAUUAUUGCACGUUAAACAUCGUGCUUUCUUACAUUUCUUACACUCCUUUUCCCUCACUAACGGCGGUACUUUAGCCCUAACUAAAUAACUUUUUAAGUUGCGGCCAGUUUUAAAUGCCACAAAUGGUCCGGGCGAAAACACUUUCUGAGCUUCUGGAUCUAAGUAUAAUAUAUGUAUAUAUUUACGGAUUAUAAGACCAAAGUCCUUUAACAGAGGAUGAAACGUAAUUGUCAAAGGUACUCCUAUUUUUCUUUUUUUGUUAGAUGCUUUAUCACAAGAUUGCAACCUCUCAAAUUCUUUCCUAAUAAGCCACAUUGGGUAGGCUCUAUUUUGCAGCCAACCCGACAAUUCCUGCAAAUGUUUAUCAGCGUCUUCCUCUCUUGAGCAAAACUUCUUGAUGCGUAGACCCUGACUAUAUACUAUAGACCUUUUAUUAUAGACCAUUAUAUAUAAUAAUAAUAAUAAUAAUUUCAUAUUUUCCAGUCUUAAAUCCGUCUGACCGUGUAGCUCAGUAGGUAUACGUAUAUAUAUAUAUAUAUAUAUAUAUAUAUAUAUAUAUAUAUAUAUAUAUAUAUAUAUAUAUAUAUAUAUAUAUAUAUAUAUAUAUAUAUAAAAGACAAACUUGAGUUACUUCGUUUAAAACAUUUAUUCACGACAAAUUUGUUUCGUAUGGCAAGCUAGUUGCCAAACGUUGGCAAGCUAGCUUGCCAUACGAAACAAAAAUUUGUUGUGAAUAAAUGUUUUAAACGAAGUAACUCAAGCUUGUCUUUUAUUUGCUCUACUUUUGUAUCGAGCACUCUAUUCUUAUGAUUCGACACUCAAUAUACUUAUUGACAUUCGCCUAUAUAUAUAUAUAUAUAUAUAUAUAUAUAUAUAUAUAUAUAUAUAUAUAUAUAUAUAUAUAUAUAUAUAUAUAUAUAUAUAUAUAUAUAUAUAUAUAUAUAUAUAUAUAUAUAUAUAUAUAUAUAUAUAUAUGCUGGCUGUGUUGGCUCAGUAAGAGACAUGUUUUCGUUUAUUGUUGUAACUGAUCUAUUAUGUACAAUUAAAAAAGAUAAAAAGUAUACUGAAUUUUCGGUCGCUAACUGCGACGGGGUCGGGUGCGAAAGGUCGCAGUCAGCGACCGAAAAUUCAGUGUACUUUUUAUCUUUCUUAAUUUGAUAUAACAGAUCAGUUACAACAAUAAACGAUAUAUAUAUAUAUAUAUAUAUAUAUAUAUAUAUAUAUAUAUAUAUAUAUAUAUAUAUAUAAUGGUUUUUAAGCUCGGCGCGGCUUAACACGGGCAAAUUACCAGUUGCCUAAUAACUGAGACUAUGCAUACAGCUAGUGUUGACUAAAUUACACUAUUGACAUUUCAUAUUCAUAAGAUCUAGAAUUACAAGAAGAUACUAAUCAAGUAUCUUAACAUAAUAUGCUUAUGGUUGUAUGCACCUCAGGGGUAAUCAAUGUAUAUAUAUAUACAUAUAUCUAAGACGUAUACUAUAUAGACACGCAAGACCAGAAGUCCCUAACUCGGACAUUGUGGUAUAGAUAUUUCAAAACAAGUCCUAACAAUGCUAGUUUUCUCAUGCACGUGUCGAUCUAUAUGCAUGCGUUAAUAAUUGAUUUUAUAUACAAAUCAACAGUAGGCUUUUCUCACGUGUCAGCCAUGUUCGUGAAUGAAAAACGAGGCAAAUUACGGAACGAAGAAUGCAGCUUGAUUGGCUCCGCUAGCUCUUAUGCUGCUCGUGCGUAUUAGCCUCGCUUUUAUUUCAACAUGGCUGACACGGAGGAAGGCCCAUAUAUGUUAUGUUAAAGAUCAUACAAUAUAGUUUGUUUGGAGCAUUUCAAUGGGCCGUGCCCUCUUAACUCUUUGUGAUCUUCGUUCGUGAUACGCUUUGCAUUUCAUAGCUUAUAUGAUCUGUUAAAGUGUUAAAAAUGUUCAUACCCACUGCAUGCAGGGGUUUCUACUCCGCAACAGUAUAUAACGCAGUAUAUACAACGUAUACGACAAGGUAUACCUCAUAUCUUAAUGCAUCUUUGGGCAGAGCAAACGGGUAUAUUUUAGAGCAAAACUUAUGAGUUGUUAAACAGUUGCUUUUAAACAUGUUACCCAUGAGCUUCCACUCUGCAUGCAUACACAAAGCAGCUGAUAUAGUGGUUUUUUGAAGUAUAAUACACGUCAGUCUGCAUUAUUUGCGAUGCCAUGGUAGCCACAUUCUCUGUUUGUGCAAAGACUGAUUUUGGUUUAUGCAUGUGAGUGCAUGAAAGCGCCCUUGCGCUUUUAAUCGAGCUCGUCAGCUUUGUGCGGCUUGUAGACUAAUAGGAUCAGUUGCUGAUUUUCAAAGAGCUGUAGUUUAACUAUAACUCAAGUAAACACGGAAUUUAUGCACCUUUGUAAUUAAGCCGUAAAGUUAGAAAAUGUUUCUCAAAAUUCAACGUGGUCUCUUAUUUUCUAUGAUUUAUAUCUGCUGUUCAUAUUAAGGUUACAUCCAAUUAACUGUUGCACCACAAGACUUUAUCUUAUUUAGGUAAUUGCCUAGAAGGAAGUAUAGUUCGCGCCAUGCAGUGUGGGGUUGUUGAUCGUUUUCUUUCUCAUAUAGAGUUUAAGGAUCUAUACAUGGUGUAUAAAAAAAACUGAUCAGAUCUGAAAUUAAUAUAUUGCUCCUAAAUUUGAAAAACAGUUAUUAUAAGUAUCCAAUUUUUGAUAUGUAUAACUUCUAUAUGCAUGGGUAGGCCUAUUUCUAAUGUAGAAUAGUGAAAAAAAUUUCUCGAACUGAAAUUUUGUAAACCAGGGGGAGGUGUAUUUUCCAACAAAUUAAAAAUGAUUUGCGCACGAGAUUUAAAAACUUCAAUCAUAUUGCUGCACGAAAUUGCAGACAAUUUGCUUCAGUUUAAGCCCUUUAACUAUUCACGCAAAUUUACAUUUUUCCCUAAAAAAUAAGUCAGCCAUAUGCACAUUAGGUAAUGGCAUUAAUUAAGCAUGCGAAAGGCCGAUUUUUUAGGAAAAAAUUUAUAGUUAAAGGACCUAAACUAAAUCAAAUUGUCUGAAAUUUUGUACGCAGUAAUACUGCGUACAAAAUUUCAGACAAUUUGAUUUAGUUUACUGUAAUUAAAAACCUAACAAAUGUUCCAUCCAUUAACUCAAAAUACUCACUUGCACUUAGUUUAUUGGAAACGAAACACCCCCCUGGUUUACACAAUUUGAGUUUGACUAUUUUUUUCAUUACUCUACAUUGUGGGUACUCAAGGAAUCAAUAUACAGGUAUAACAAAAACUUGAUACCACGAGCUGUUUUGUGAAAUUGAGAGCAAUUUCAAAUCUGUUCAGUUUUUUUAUACACCCUGUAUACACUACAGAUUAAGCGCUCGAUCUAGUAUACCCACAUUAAUUAAUAAAAUGUUUCCUUAUCUAGUUCUUAGUGGAGGUAAUUCUAUUCCACUUGGCAGUGAUUGGGUUCUUGAGCUUGGUCGGCACAUUAUUCGCUGAAACAGAUUUUUGAAGGCCUCUCUGUACGUUCGGUCCAGACAGGCAUAAAUUAUUGGGUUACAUAAACAGUUAAACAGUGGGAGUAGCACUACUAGUGUUCCACCUGUAAAUACCAAAUACCAAUAACUCAAUGAGCGGUUGUCCAAAUCUACAAAAUUUGAAUAGUAGUUCACCAGCAUCUGAAAAAUAAAGUGAGGACCCCAACAAAGUAUAAACACUCCAACGACAACCAAUAAAAUACGAAUAGUCUUCAGAUCUUGAAGAAAGGCCCUUCGUUGGUUCUGAUCAUUGCAGGUUUGACCCAGUUCCCCAUUUCGCAGCAUUUUUUGUCGUUCAUGAACAACAACAAAAAUGAGAGUGUACAUAACCAGUAUAACUACGGUGGGUAGAAAAAAUGCACUUACUGCUACGAAAGUAUAGAAUACUUUUCUAUUCUCAUCGUGAAGGUUGCAAUUUGUCAUGCUUGUAAACAAGAUGCCCAUGCUUCCUGAAUGAGGAGCGGCGGCGUACGUAGCAAAGGCAGUUGAAAUCAACCAAAUGACAAAGAUAAUUUUCAAUGAUUUGGAAGUUGUCAUUCUGGAUCUAUAUUGAAGUGGCUUCCUCACCUUGAGAUAUCGGUCAAAACUGAUGAAUGUCAGUGUAUAAAUAGAUGCUGAUAACAGAAAGGUAUCUAUCCAAGCUAUGAAACGACACAGGUGAUUAGACAUGGUACGUCGCGAUUCAACAUCGAUACUGCUUUGAUAUACCUUCAAUGGUUCUAAAAUUACACCAACCAAAAGAUCAGCGACAGCCAGACAAGCAAUAAAAUACUUAGUUGGUUCAUGUAGACUUCUUUCUCUCCACGUUGCCACCAAAACCAAAGUGUUCCCCAAAAUGGUAAAUAUGGCGAAAAAUAUUAAUAUAAUUUUUUCUGCUAAUAUGGUCUGAUGAAGAAAUGCAAUAAGUUUCAUAUGAUCACUCUCCGUCCAUGUACUCGUCUCUAUUUGAUUUGUACGGUGAACAUCACCAGUAUUGUUUGACAACAUCACUGUAAAACGUGAUCCUAAGAAUAGAUAAGAAUACCAUACUAUAGUCAGACAAAUUCUAACAGGGUCAGCUAGAGUGCUGCAUGUACUCUUCAGUUUUUCGUAUAAUGACCUCAUAGUCAGACUUUUAAAUACUCUCAAUGUGUUAUAUAGUUAUUUCUAUAAUAUGUAUGGCUAAAUUUGCAACAGAUGAAAAAACUACAAAUUAAACAGAACCGAUAUACUAUUAUAAUAAUUGACUUAACGCAUGACCUCGUGCAGACAAUAUACAAAUACAAACCGAUUCCGUU
Non-coding RNA from Paramuricea clavata, 18506 nucleotides. The record is from the annotation of a GenBank genome assembly. NCBI's taxonomy places the organism in Eukaryota, Metazoa, Cnidaria, Anthozoa, Malacalcyonacea, Plexauridae.